Molecule: ribosomal RNA, 492 nt
Filed under: uncultured bacterium
Lineage: Bacteria
Description: partial 16S ribosomal RNA
Rfam family: Bacterial small subunit ribosomal RNA
Source: RNAcentral
AGUGAACGCUGGCGGUAGGCCUAACACAUGCAAGUCGAACGGCAGCACAGUAAGAGCUUGCUCUUACGGGUGGCGAGUGGCGGACGGGUGAGGAAUACAUCGGAAUCUACUUUUUCGUGGGGGAUAACGUAGGGAAACUUACGCUAAUACCGCAUACGACCUACGGGUGAAAGCAGGGGAUCUUCGGACCUUGCGCGAUUGAAUGAGCCGAUGUCGGAUUAGCUAGUUGGCGGGGUAAAGGCCCACCAAGGCGACGAUCCGUAGCUGGUCUGAGAGGAUGAUCAGCCACACUGGAACUGAGACACGGUCCAGACUCCUACGGGAGGCAGCAGUGGGGAAUAUUGGACAAUGGGCGCAAGCCCGAUCCAGCUAUACCGCGUGGGUGAAGAAGGCCUUCGGGUUGUAAAGCCCUUUUGUUGGGAAAGAAAAGCAGCAGGUUAAUACCCCGCUGUUCUGACGGUACCCAAAGAAUAAGCACCGGCUAACUUCGUG